This 465-nucleotide ribosomal RNA is filed under the name Vreelandella stevensii. RNAcentral describes it as "partial 16S ribosomal RNA". It matches the Rfam family "Bacterial small subunit ribosomal RNA", at positions 338 to 795 of the family's 1533-position model. Lineage: Bacteria; Pseudomonadati; Pseudomonadota; Gammaproteobacteria; Oceanospirillales; Halomonadaceae. The record is from RNAcentral.
CCUACGGGCGGCAGCAGUGGGGAAUAUUGGACAAUGGGGGCAACCCUGAUCCAGCCAUGCCGCGUGUGUGAAGAAGUCCCUCGGGUUGUAAAGCACUUUCAGUGAGGAAGAACGCCUGGUGGUUAAUACCCAUCAGGAAAGACAUCACUCACAGAAGAAGCACCGGCUAACUCCGGGCCAGCAGCCGCGGUAAUACGGAGGGUGCGAGCGUUAAUCGGAAUUACUGGGCGUAAAGCGCGCGUAGGUGGCUUGAUAAGCCGGUUGUGAAAGCCCCGGGCUCAACCUGGGAACGGCAUCCGGAACUGUCAAGCUAGAGUGCAGGAGAGGAAGGUAGAAUUCCCGGUGUAGCGGUGAAAUGCGUAGAGAUCGGGAGGAAUACCAGUGGCGAAGGCGGCCUUCUGGACUGACACUGACACUGAGGUGCGAAAGCGUGGGUAGCAAACAGGAUUAGAUACCCUAGUAGUC